Molecule: long non-coding RNA, 636 nt
Organism: Oreochromis aureus
Lineage: Eukaryota; Metazoa; Chordata; Actinopteri; Cichliformes; Cichlidae
Source: Ensembl
CCUCAAAGACUCGAAGGCAUCACAAUGUCAGAAAUGGACACAAGUGUCCCAUAUGUGGACAUGUAUAUGCUGAUAUUGUUCAGCACCUAAGAGUCACAGAGCAGGUUGUAAAUAAAACUGAGCUGACUCUUUUGAGCCAAUUUUCUCAUCGGCACUUUUCUGCAAAUCUGGACUGUCCAGUCCGUUUAUGUCAGUCAAAACAUCUUAAUCGGCUUGACAAGCACCUGGAAAAGGUCCACAAAUUACAGAAACCUAUGAUUAAACUUUACAUGCAAAAGGCCAAGGACAGACACAUUGCUAAAGAACUGGCACUUCUGAGGGCAUCAAAUCCCACACCGCAAAUGGUCUCACACAUGGAUGAAGUGGAUGAUGCUGUAAUUGAGGAGGGCAUCUUUAGGGCACUGGAGGAAGGGUCAAAGGUUGCUUCUGCUAUAGCCUCUUCCAGCAAGGCUCCCAGUGACCAUGUUACACUGAUCCACUGGCCUGCUCGAGACGAUUCCGUUGACGAUUCCGGUGACUCUGACAGCGAGGCUCCCAGUGACUCUACCAGACCAAACCUACAGCCUCCUCUCUCUGCCAGUGACACUCUCAGUGACCACACCAUCCCAAUUAUGCAGCCUCCUUCUCUCUCCACCA